GAUGAACGCUGGCGGCGUGCCUAAUACAUGCCAGUCGAGCGAACAGAUGAGGAGCUUGCUCCUCUGACGUUAGCGGCGGACGGGUGAGUAACACGUGGAUAACCUACCUAUAAGACUGGGAUAACUUCGGGAAACCGGAGCUAAUACCGGAUAAUAUAUUGAACCGCAUGGUUCAAUAGUGAAAGACGGUUUUGCUGUCACUUAUAGAUGGAUCCGCGCCGCAUUAGCUAGUUGGUAAGGUAACGGCUUACCAAGGCGACGAUGCGUAGCCGACCUGAGAGGGGGAUCGGCCACACGGGAAGGGAGACACGGUCAAGACUCCUACGGGAGGCAGCAGUAGGGAAUCUUCCGCAAUGGGCGAAAGCCUGACGGAGCAGCGCCGCGUGAGUGAUGAAGGUCUUCGGAUCGUAAAACUCUGUUAUUAGGGAAGAACAAAUGUGUAAGUAACUAUGCACGUCUUGACGGUACCUAAUCAGAAAGCCACGGCUAACUACGUG
RNAcentral lists this ribosomal RNA (497 nucleotides) under uncultured bacterium. RNAcentral describes it as "partial 16S ribosomal RNA". It matches the Rfam family "Bacterial small subunit ribosomal RNA", at positions 28 to 507 of the family's 1533-position model. The record is from RNAcentral.